RNAcentral lists this non-coding RNA (45 nucleotides) under Schistosoma margrebowiei. The record is from RNAcentral. Lineage: Eukaryota; Metazoa; Platyhelminthes; Trematoda; Strigeidida; Schistosomatidae.
AUCCAACUGAUUAGUCCCAAAUAGGACGAAAUUCACGUCUAGGAU